RNAcentral lists this long non-coding RNA (547 nucleotides) under Penaeus japonicus. Its description in RNAcentral is "uncharacterized LOC122261819". The record is from RNAcentral. Lineage: Eukaryota; Metazoa; Arthropoda; Malacostraca; Decapoda; Penaeidae.
GCAGGCAGUGUGCAGACCACGUCUCUGCGGGAGAGGGCGCGUGUUCCUGGUGUCGGAUCAGCUGUGCCACGACGUGAGGGAGCCAGGACUGUGCCCCGGAAAUCGACGACUGUACCUAACAGGCUACGGUAGUCCAGUGUGUGAUUGUUACGACGGCGAGUUUCCUGCUCCUGAUGGCUCCUGCUACCCGCUCUUCAGCCAGGGUCCUUGCCCGCCAUCACAGGUAAGGCGGCCAUUACAGGUAAGGCGGCCAUUACAGGUAUGGCGGGAAGACAGACGAAACGAAGGAAAUUACCGCGGAUUGUCUUCGUGCGGGGGAAUUUAGAGUAUUUGCUUCUUUGAGAUAUGGAUUGUUAUAUUUCUUUUAUUUCGUGGUAUGUAGGGAUAUGUAUUGAGCGUAGGUAUAACUGUCUAAGAUGGAGUCUUAUUUGACACGAAACGAUUGUGAGCGAUGUUUGUUUUGCUUCUCACUGUGACAUAUUUUCCAUUAACCGAUUAUAUUCAGAUGUUUAUUCAUCAAAUGAUUAUAAAGUAACUGAUAUGGACG